CAUUGCAGUCAAAGUAUGUCUUGCUAGAAGAACAUUCUUUUUCACCUGAAAGGCACAUUGUUGGUUUAGAUCAAUCAAGGCAAAAGAAAUGUUAGUGAAAGGUGGUAGUUUCUCAGACAGAAAUCUCAGUCUCUCCUUAUGAAAAAAAUGGGCUCAGUGAAGAGAGAAUAAAGUGAAAAUGUGUUCCUGUUUUACAUAAAAAGAAAAAAACCACACAAAACAACUAAACGGAGAAUUCAAAAGAGAUGUAGGUUUGGGUUGGGAGGUUGACUAUGGAUUUUAUUCUUGUUUAGUUUAUAGAAUGUCACUUACUUUUCAUUCUUAUUUUCACUGAAGUGCACUGGAUCUUUGCAUUUCGGCAAACACUAGAAAAGUGAAGUAAGUAGAAAUUUAAAAAAAAAAAAAAAGCAAGCUCAAUAUCUUCAAUUUAAGUCUAAGGACUUGUUUAUAUACAUUUGAGAGUAUUUAUUAAAUAUAGCCCGCAUAAUUUCUACUGAAAUUUCAAGGCCAAUUCUAUUGAAUCACACGCAUGAUUUUUUUUGUUGGAGAAAAAGUGUAGCAAGAUUUUAGGCAUAAUGCACAGAAAGGUUAUGUUUUAAGGAAUGACAGCUAUUCUAUUAUAAUCUUUAAUACUAUGUUUUAUGACAACUCGGGAAUUAGAUAGUAAUGACACAGAUAAUACUGGUAAUUUAAAUCAAAGUCUCCAUUUAUAUACACAAUGUAUUUUCAUGACUAUUGAAUUUAUAUGCUGCAAAUUUGUUGACCUAUGUGAUUCUUCUGCUGAAUGAGAGAAGGCAUUUCACAGUUUGCACUGACGACUCAGACAGCAAACUGUUGCCAGAGAUCAUGGGAAAAUAUAACAGAAUCAUGAAUGUUGUUUUCAAAAGUCUAUGUUACAAUGAAUAUAUAUCAAGGGGACCUUCCUCCAGUGGAAAACACAAGCAAACCAUGUCUGCUAGAAAAGCAAACAUAACACAUAGCUGGCCUUUUAUCUUCCUUUCAUCAUUCUGCUUAACAAAGCGUUAUUAACACUGCAGCUUCAGAAUAACAUUUGUCUGUGAAGGCAAAUACUCACACCUCCAAAGCAAGCUGCACUUCUCAAUUAUGAAUAAAUUGCAUUGCAAUAGAAUAAUGCUUUACUCAGCAUGAAGAUGUCGUGAAAUGCAUUACAAACACUCAUUAAAGUACCAAAAAACCUAAGCACCU
This 1206-nucleotide long non-coding RNA is filed under the name Taeniopygia guttata (zebra finch). Its description in RNAcentral is "lncRNA (ENSTGUG00000023465.1)". Lineage: Eukaryota; Metazoa; Chordata; Aves; Passeriformes; Estrildidae. The record is from RNAcentral.